CCCCCAUAAGAGGUCAAACCUGCCCAGUGACCCCUGUUCAACGGCCGCGGUAUCUUGACCGUGCAAAGGUAGCGUAAUCAUUUGUCUUUUAAAUGAAGACCUGUAUGAAUGGUUAAACGAGGGCUUAACUGUCUCCUCCCCCCGGUCAGUGAAAUUGACCCCCCCGUGCGGAGGCGGGGAUCCCGACAUAAGACGAGAAGACCCUGUGGAGCUUUUAAAUACAAACCAAGGCCAAGUCCAUAAACGAUUAUAAACAAUAAAACAUGUUGGCCGAGGGUAAUAUUUUAGGUUGGGGCGACCCUGGGGAAUACAAAACCCCCAUGUGGAAUGAGCCCAAAUAAAAUAAAAUACGAGGCUUUAACAUUAAAGAAGCACACUUCUAAUGAGCAGAAUUUCUGACCUGCCAGAUCCGGCCCAAAACCGAUCAACGAACCAAGUUACCCCAGGGAUAACAGCGCAAUCCCCUUUUAGAGCCCUUAUCGACAAGGGGGUUUACGACCUCGAUGUUGGAUCAGGACAUCCUAGUGAUGAAGCCAUUAUUAGGGUUCGUUUGUUCAACGAUUAAAGUCCUACGUGAUCUGGAGUUUC
This 588-nucleotide ribosomal RNA is filed under the name Symphurus plagusia (duskycheek tonguefish). RNAcentral describes it as "LSU rRNA". It matches the Rfam family "Bacterial large subunit ribosomal RNA", at positions 1840 to 2613 of the family's 2925-position model. The record is from RNAcentral. Lineage: Eukaryota; Metazoa; Chordata; Actinopteri; Pleuronectiformes; Cynoglossidae.